GCCGGAGUGGCGGAAUCGGCAGACGCACAGGUUUCAAAAACCUGCGCCGCAAGGCGUGCGGGUUCAAGUCCCGCCUCCGGCACCA
RNAcentral lists this transfer RNA (85 nucleotides) under bacterium. RNAcentral describes it as "tRNA-Leu". It matches the Rfam family "tRNA". From Rfam's summary of the family: Transfer RNA (tRNA) molecules are approximately 80 nucleotides in length. Their secondary structure includes four short double-helical elements and three loops (D, anti-codon, and T loops). Further hydrogen bonds mediate the characteristic L-shaped molecular structure. tRNAs have two regions of fundamental functional importance: the anti-codon, which is responsible for specific mRNA codon recognition, and the 3' end, to which the tRNAs corresponding amino acid is attached (by aminoacyl-tRNA synthetases). tRNAs cope with the degeneracy of the genetic code in two manners: having more than one tRNA (with a specific anti-codon) for a particular amino acid; and 'wobble' base-pairing, i.e. permitting non-standard base-pairing at the 3rd anti-codon position. RNAcentral also lists the same sequence under 2 other names. The record is from RNAcentral.